Long non-coding RNA from Mauremys reevesii (Reeves's turtle), 1130 nucleotides. RefSeq lists it as uncharacterized. The transcript is spliced from 4 exons. NCBI's taxonomy places the organism in Eukaryota, Metazoa, Chordata, Testudines, Geoemydidae. The record is from RefSeq and is a predicted model, not a curated record.
CCGGCUUGAAUCCUUCCUUGCCUGAUACCCUGCUUGUUCCAGUUCCUGCCAUCCAGUUUAACCCCCAGUUCUGGCUUCUAACUACCAACUCCGGCUUGACUGUUGGCUCCAAAAUCUGACUACUGACUCCAGCGCUGACCCUAGUCCUUGGUUCCCAAUGUCUGCUCCAACCACUAGGUCUGACUCCUGCUUUGGCCGCUAGGCUAGACCGCUCUCAUCCUGGCUGGCUGACAUGGUACUUCUAUCAGAAUAGGAAGCUGGCAUGCUAUGCAGAGCACCUGCUGGUUGCUGGAUGACUCGCUGACCUGGGGAGCUUCCACAGGAGGGGCAGAGCUGGAAAGGAAGUGUGCUGCAUUGGCUUCUGAUGCUUUAGGUGAAUUUCCAGUCACAUUUACUUAUACUACCACUCCUUCUCCCCAAGACAUCACAGCGGAGGGAAGCCUGGGGACGGUGUGAUAGCUUUCCAAAGACUAAAUCCAAGGCUUCAAAUCAGAGAACCCUGCAUCUCUUUAAACAGGCCCAAUGAAGAACCAAGAAAACAUAUAUUUAAAAUGCCAAAAUGUCAGGAGUUGGUCUGCAAUACCAGGCUCUCACUCCAGCCCAUGCACACGGGGCAAAUAAUUGUCAUAUGUGACACACGGGCCAAAGACAGAGCUGCUCAAGAUUAGCAGCAGUGAGAACAAAGAAGUUUGUGACUAGAAGUGGAGGUGUUGGUGUUGAGUGCAAUGGUUGAUUGGAAGCUUUUGGGGGCAGAGACUGUCUCUUACUCUGUUUGCACGGAGUCUAGCACAUUGGGACCCGAAUGUGACUGGAAUCUCCCAGCGCUACGGAAAAAAUAUAUAGUUAUGACACAGGUUAACUCAGUGACUACUUCCAUCUGACUCCGCGCUCUCUCUGCAGAACAAGGGAAUGACAACUGAGAGUAACUGCAUGACUGGAACACUCCAGCUAGUAAAUCUUCCUGGGCAGUGGCAUCAAUUUCAAUUUAUGCUUGGAAGUAUUUUUAAUUAAAAAAAUCAAUACCGAAAAACGUUUAUUUUAGGGGUUGAAAAAAACUCACAAAUCACAAUAGGGGUUUGCCAGAUUGAUUUAGCUCGGCAGCACAGUUAGGAUGCACAUAGCAUUUAUUA